RNAcentral lists this ribosomal RNA (254 nucleotides) under uncultured bacterium. RNAcentral describes it as "partial 16S ribosomal RNA". It matches the Rfam family "Bacterial small subunit ribosomal RNA", at positions 524 to 776 of the family's 1533-position model. The record is from RNAcentral.
UACGGGGGGAGCAAGCGUUGUUCGGAUUUACUGGGCGUAAAGGGCGCGUAGGCGGUCAGCACAAGUCAGUUGUGAAAUCUCCGGGCUUAACUCGGAAAGGUCAACUGAUACUGUGCGACUAGAGUGCAGAAGGGGCAACUGGAAUUCUCGGUGUAGCGGUGAAAUGCGUAGAUAUCGAGAGGAACACCUGCGGCGAAGGCGGGUUGCUGGGCUGACACUGACGCUGAGGAGCGAAAGCGUGGGGAGCGAACAGG